GCGGCGGCCGCCCCUGGCUGCGCUUGGUCGCCUCUCGAUGCAGGUGCCAGGAGCAUCCGGGUGGGGAAAGCAGCGUCUCCAGGAGCUCCUGCUGCAGGAGCUGCUGUGGGUGAAGCUUAAGAUGCUUGAAAAACGUGAAACAGCCAGAGAACAACAUCAAGGUGAUUGAGCCAGAAGGUGCUUCCUGCGGCAGGGAAGAGACAGCCAAGCAUUUCUGGGUGAGGAAGGGUCCCCUCUGAGUUGUCCUCAGCAGACCAGAUUGCUGAUAUGUACCGCAGGGUCCGUACGCGUAUCCAAAAUCACGGUAUGGCCAUGGGGAAGGGUUGUGUGCGUGCAAGGCUGCACAUCUGGGAAGCUUCAUAUCGCAAGAGCUGUAAGACACCGCUGUGUUCUCUUAGGUGGAGGAUGGUCAAGUGACCAGCGCUGCAGAAGAGGAAGGGAGUCAUGUCCCUCCUCCUCCUCGAGUAGCACACAAAAAACCCCCCGUGGUCAAAUCAUAGCUGUGUAUUUUGGAGACGGACAGUUUAGUAGUAUCCGUUCACAGCUGUGCAAGUUAAAUUAGCGCCGAAGGAAAGCCAAGUACUUUCACAGGGUGCCUCGUCGUAGGCGUCUCGUGCUGCUCGAGAGAUGCCCCAGCCCAGGUUUGCAGCCGGUGGCGGAGCCCCCCUGAGGAGAAGGGGCCAGCGUUUUGAUCUGGGCGUUUUGGGCCUUUUUUUGGGGUGAAUAGAAGGGUGUCUGUGUGUGUGUCUUGGGGGGUGAUGGU
Molecule: long non-coding RNA, 763 nt
Organism: Chroicocephalus ridibundus (black-headed gull)
Lineage: Eukaryota; Metazoa; Chordata; Aves; Charadriiformes; Laridae
Exons: 3
Source: RefSeq, a predicted model, not a curated record